RNAcentral lists this ribosomal RNA (135 nucleotides) under uncultured eukaryote. RNAcentral describes it as "partial 18S ribosomal RNA". It matches the Rfam family "Eukaryotic small subunit ribosomal RNA", at positions 1299 to 1458 of the family's 1831-position model. The record is from RNAcentral.
UGGUGGAGCGAUUUGUCUGCUUAAUUGCGAUAACGAACGAGACUCUGGCCUACUAACUAGAAGACAGUUCUUCGAGACUGUCAUACUUCUUAGAGGGAUAAGGGGAUUGAAGCCCCAAGAGGUUGAGCAAUAACA